This 2350-nucleotide small RNA is filed under the name Pan troglodytes (chimpanzee). RNAcentral describes it as "retained intron". The record is from RNAcentral. Lineage: Eukaryota; Metazoa; Chordata; Mammalia; Primates; Hominidae.
GUGGCCUGGCACCCAGCCAGCAGGGUAAGGGCAGAGGUGGCUGGGCCCUUCCUACUGGAAAGGGCUCCCCAAACCACCACCCCCCACCACCACGGGCCUGGGCAGGGCUGGCAGCACACAGGACAGCCAGGAGGGGUGCCACCCAACCACAUCUCCUUCUCGGCCACAGGCUAGAUGGCAUCUUCCUGGAGCUGGGCAGUGAGGAGCAGAAGAGACUGCCUGCCUUCAACCGCACGUUGGCCCUACUCCGGCAAGUGCUGAAGUCUGAGGACCCCUGCCACCGAGGUGGGGACCCGGGGGAUGGGUGGGACAGCAGCCUCUGCCCCCUGCCAACAGCCUGCUGGCAUUGCAUCCACCUCUGGCAUUACCUCCCCUUCUUGGCUCCUGUUUCUUCCUCCUUCGCUCUGUUCCCUACACUCAUCUGUGCACCUCAGGGAGCCCACAUACCUUGCCCAAGUGAACAUGCCAACUACAAGUCACUGCGACUGCAGGCUUGCCCGUCUGCAGCUCAUGACCUGGAGGGUGAGAGGUAGUUUCCCCUAUUUCCACCUAUUUAUGGUCAGAAGAUUGAAGCCUCUGUUGGAGAGGAGUCGAGUCAUUUUUUUGCAGGGCCAGACAGCAAGAGCAGGGACUAGAACCACCAGAGCUGGUGAGAACUGAAGUCAGAAGAGACCUACGUACCUGAAAUGAGGUCCCCCGAUGACACAUUGAGCACAGAAUAAGCACUAAAAUGGGUUCACUAACCCCUCACACGGCCCCUCUCUCCACCCUUGCUUCUCUCUGUCCCUGGGUUGCCCUUAGUGAUCUCACUCUACUAUCCCUUGCUUUGUCUUCAUGAGUGACACCUAGGAUGGGGAUGGCCCCUUCCCUCUCUCCACCCUGCUGCUUCCUAGAGACCCUCUCCCACCCUUCACCCCCAGCCCUGGCCUGGUGCUACCUCGGGAUGCUGCUGGAGCGGAAGGACACCUUCUCCACCACCCCCAUGGGCGUCCAUGACUGCGGGUACUCAGGGACCGACCCUCUAGACUGCUUCGGCAAGGUACGUGCCCCCAGCCACACCCACCCUCUAAACUGAGAAGGAGCCUGGCACCCCAGCCUCUCCACCCAGAACCCAGGCUUCUCUAGGUAUCAACCCCCACCGCGUGGCCCACCCAGGAAGUACACUUACUCCAGACCUUGCUCUCCAUCCUCUCUUCAUUCAAAACAAAAGAGACCCUCCCCAUACCCAGUCUGGCUCCAGUCCAUUUCUCCAGCCUUGAAAUAGACCCUUAGACUUUUUCCCUUGAGGCCUUCAUUCACAGUAUUCCCUCUGCCAGGAGUUCCCUACCUCUCCACCCCCAAUGGCACAAUAGAAAGAUGGGUUUAGCUGGUGUCUCCUUGCCAGCCCUGCCCAUAGGCUGUGUGACCCUAAGGCAAGUAACUUACAACAGGAAGCAGUCAAUGACAAUAGUGGGGGUAAGUGUUAUUACCCAGGUAGAAACCCUGUACUUUGUAAGGUUGGGGGAUGGGGGUUGCCUCUGGCCCUUCCUCUCACCUGCCCUAGGAAGAUGGGAGAGCAUACACUGGGAAGGAGGGGUCUGACUGGGCUCUGGAAGGCUUUACUGGAUGUGACCGGUGAUGUGGUCGUGGGCCAGGCUCUCAGGAGUUGAGUGCCAAUAGGUUGUGCCCCAAGGUGUUGGGGCUUCGUGAUAUGACAACUUACUGGCAGGUGGAUAAGGGUGGAUAUGGGUAAAGGGCACCGUGUUGAUACGGCUGUAUCCAAAGAUCGGGUUCCUGUGGUUCAGCACUAUUUAGCCAGCUCUGGCUAAUGACCAAGCAAGUGGUUUGUUUUUGUACUCCUCCCUUACCUAGGCCAUUGAGAUUGCCAAGAACCAACCUCCCAUCCUGAAUCGCCUGGCAAAAAUCUUCUACUUCCUGGGAAAGCAGGAUAUGGCCAUUGGAACCUGCAACAUGGCCCUGGAUGUCCUACGAGAUCCAGAGCUCAACUGGCAGGCGUACUGCACAAGGGCCAAGAUCCACAUCAGAGCCUACCUGCAUGACCUCGAGCGGGCCAAGAUGGGUCUUGGGGGCAUGCCUGACAGGAACCACCUGGCCUGUGCCAAGGCUGACCUCGAGGAAGUGGUCAGGGUGUGCCCAGGCUUCAAGGCGUACCUGGACAUCGGCCAGGUCUACUACUAUAUGGGCGUGGACGCGGUGCAGGAGCUGCUGGCGGUGGACGAGGCGGCGCUGAACCAGGCGCUGGUGUUCCUGGCCAAGGCGGGCGAGUCGGAGCUGGGUGCCACGCUGCCCGAGCUGCAGCUGCUGCGCGGCAAGUGCCUGCGCAUCAAGGGCGAGGACGCCAACGCGGCCG